Molecule: long non-coding RNA, 11891 nt
Filed under: Equus caballus (horse)
Lineage: Eukaryota; Metazoa; Chordata; Mammalia; Perissodactyla; Equidae
Description: lncRNA (ENSECAG00000056145.1)
Source: RNAcentral
GUAAAUUAAACCCAGUGUAUGCAUAGGAAAGGAAAUAGUAAAGAUCAGAAGAAAGAUCAAUGAAAUAUAAAACAGAAAAAUAGAAAAAAAUAAAUGAAACCAAAAGCUAGUUCUUUGAGAAGAUCAAUAAAAUUGAUAAACCUCUAGUCAGACUCUUAAGGAAAAAAAAAGAUACAGGGCACAAAUUACUAAUACCAAGAAUGAGAGAAGUGGCUUGACUGCAGAUUAUGCUGAUUUUAAUAAGGUUAAUGAGAGAAUAUUAUGAACAACUUAGAUGUGAAUAAAUUCAGCAACUUAGGUGAAAUAGACAAAUUCAUUUUGAAAGACGCAAACUACAAAAGCUUACUCAAGAAGAAAUAGAUAACUUGAAUAACUCUAUAUCUGACAAAGAAAUUGAAUUUGUAGUUAAAAAUCUUCCUGUGAAGAAAAUGGGAGGCCCAAAUGGCAUCACUUGGAAAUUCUAAACUUUUAACGAAAAAAAAGCCAAUUCUCACAAACUCUUCCAAAAGAUUGAAGAGAAGGGAAUACUUUCCAACUCAUUUCAUGAGGCCAACUUUACUCUAAUACUAGAAAACAGACAGACAUUACGAUAAAAGAAAAUUACAGACCAAUAUCCCUCAUGAACGUAGAUGCAAACAUUCUAAAUAAAAGGGAACUCAUAAUCCAUUACUAAAAGCAAAACCCUAAUGACUCUCUUAAUUCUGUUGAAGUUUUUUGUAGAAAGUCACAUGCAUUUAUAUUUCUAAUAAAGUAUAUACUAUUGAUAUACAUUUUAGUGUUUGGUGUUCCUAAGAAACUGAUUCGGUGUGAGGAAGCGCCAGAACAGAAAGAAGCCACAGAGAGAAAUGGCUUUGCCUUCCAGGGGACUUUAUAACCGCUUUCACUAUGUGAAGUGGUCUAUAUACCACAUUUUGGGAAAUACUGGACUAGAGAAGAUGUCAUAGUGUCCUGUGUUGUUUAGAAUGCUGCUUUUUUUGUGCAUUUAUGUUUCAAGUUAUAGCACCUCCCUUCCAGGACAAAAAAGCUACUAGGAGUAAGUAUGGGGGAAAAAGCAUAUUUACAGGAAGAAACAUUUUGGAUUGUAUUUUAACUCAUAUUUUGUGCCAAUAUGGAUAUGAAGCAGUUAUGAGGAUGUUCCUUUUUGCCUAUGUGAUAAAGUUGUCCUCUUCUAGUCCAUACCAUUUCUCUGGAGCUUCACCUGUAGCUCUGGGUAAAAGGAGACUAUAGCCUAAAGGCUCCCAAGUUAGGCACUCUUUCUCUCAUUUUCCUGUUAAAAUAAGACCUUUCACUUUAGUUUCCUUCUGUUACUGCUCAGGGGGUAAGCUUGUGAGGGCAGGCCCGUGUCUGUCUGGUUUAUCACUGUGUCUGUAGCACCACACCUCCUCGGCACAGAGUAGGGGCUGAGUGAAUAUUUGUUGAACUAAUGAAUGAGUGAACGAGCAAGCAUAUUCAUACAAGGACUUGUCAGGUGAGCAGGUCAAAUAUUAUUGAGGGUGGAACUGAGGCAAGGGGAAGUUAUGAGGUAUCUUUAAUGUCAGAUGAUCAGGGACUGAAAUGGGACUUGUAAGUCUUUUGCCCUUUUAUAGUGUAGGUCCUUGAAAUAUGUUUGUGGAAUAAAUGAGUUAGUGAAAGAACAAUGUAUGUUGUUCUCUUAAACACACUCAUAUUUUAUUGGAUGAAAAGGGAAACUUUUAAAGAGAGAGAAACUGCCUUUGUGGCUUCAUGUUGUGAGGAACUAGGCCAGGUGGGAAUGAGGAGACAGAAUGGGCAGAUUUAAAGUGACUUAAGUAUCUUAGAAGUAACUGAACAUAUUGUCUAUUAGUAAGAGUAAUUUAAUGGUGGGAUGACAGGGAGUGCCUUAAACUAGCUCACAAACCAGUUUUUGUCUUUGUCAUAAAUAUGUGAUUAAGAAGAAACUUGUUUCAUGCUGGAAAAUUCUUCUUGUGAGAUCUUUAUUUUGGUACACAAUGCACCAAAACAUUUGUUUCUAUUUACCUUGAAAAAACCCCCUCCAGAGAUAGCAUGUGGGGAGCAGCCAUCUGUUCAGGAUUACACUUCUGAAUUGCUGUUUCUCUGAACCCGCCUGACUCUGUAUAUGUUCAUGUAACAUAUCAGGACUGUUUCCCCCCUUUAUCAAGUUCGUUUAUCAACACCGUCGAAAGGAUGUACUUAUAUUCUAGUGUGCAUUAGAACUGUUAAUUGGCUAUUGCAUAACAGGUUAAACUGGGAACCCUGGAGUCUCUGGAUUCAGUUGCUGAUUGUUUUUACUCUGCCAUCAGACCUCGGAACAAGUCAUUAUAUAUGUCUUACCUUUCCCCAAAAUAAAUAGCUUUAAAUGUUCAUGAAAUUAGGGGCAGCUCAGAUGCUGUGUAGCUGGUUAGGACUCUAGUAGCAGUGGGCUGAGGUACAGUAGAAGGGAAAAGAGAAGUAUGUAUAACAGUAAUCUUGAUUCUUAUGCCCACUACUCCCAUUGGACCCCUAAGACUCUGAUACUGCACAAGUGGAGAGAGACCCCGCUAUCGCCAGGUAAGCAUCUCUUCUGGGUGAAACUAUGCUGCCUUAACACUGAUAUAGACUUUAAAAAGGCUGUUUUCAUGUGCAUAAUCUCACAUCAACCUCAUUUCAAACACAGAGGGAAAUAGGGCAAAUUUUAUUACCCCAGUUUGUGUGUGUGUGUGAGGAAAAUAGGCCCUGAGCUAACAUCUGUUGCCAGUUUUCCUCUUUUCACUUGAGGAAGCUUGUCAUUAACAUCUGUGCCAAUCCUCUUCUAUUUUGUAUAUGGGAUGCAGCCACAGCAUGGCUUGAUAAUCGGUGUGUAAGUCCGUGCCCAGGAUCUGAACCCAUGAACCCUGGGCUGCCGAAGCGGGGCAUGCGAACUUAACUACUACGCCACCUGGCCAGCAUCUAUUACCCUAGUUUUACUGGUGACAAAAUGGAGGCUCUAAUUGUCUAGGUGAUUUGGUCAAAGUCACACAAUUAUUGGGUCAUAGAGCCAGGACCUGAGCUCAUACUUUCUGAUCCCCUUCCUAUUAUGCUAAUUCUUUGAUUUAUCUUGGAAAAGACAUAUAAGGAGUUAAAGGCAUGUUUCAUUUAUAGUUGGUGUGGUGUUAACUUCUUUGACUCCCUUGCAAAAUUUUAUUUGCCUUUAAGCAAGAUCCUUUAACUUAAGCAAAAACUACACCAAACAAAACCAUCCUUACAAUAUAUAGCAUACAUAUAAAGAACUAAAGGGCAACACUCUCAGCUAAAAGAAAACAUUUUGUGUUUCAUUACAGAGCAGUUUUACAGCCCAAAUAGAAGCAAUUGUGAACCAGCUAAGAGGUUUUUCCUGUUACCUUAUUUGAUGAAGUUUCUUUACUGAACCUCCAAGGUCACUCUCAUAUAAAGAAACAGAGUAACAUCUGGAUUUCAAAGAAAAUUAAUCACUUCUUAAAGCUGUCCAAUUACUCUGUUAGAAGGUAUUGUUGUUAAGAAAUUAAAAUGGAAAUACCAGUGCUUGUCUCCUGAGAUUUGGUUGGAGAACCUUCUGGAUUCUAUUCUGUAGUUUGGCUCCUCUGACCUUGGACACAGCUUUUUAACCUUUCUUAACUCAUCUAAAACGUGCCUCAUAGAGGUUUGUUUUGGGUUUAGAAAUGCUUUGACAUUUUUGGAUUAAAGGUGAAGUGGACAAAAAUGCUAUUCUAAGGAAGCUUGGAGGCUAAUGAAAUAUUUUUAUUAUUCUUUUCAACUUUCGUCUCUGGAAGGGCAAGGAGUGUUUUAUUCUUGGAUCAUUUACUUAUUCAGCAAACAUUUACUGAGUACCAUGUACUACACCAUGACCAGCACCCUCCUCUGCUCUCCUGGUGCGGUGCCAUCAGGCGAUGCUUCUGAAAACACGGCAAAGGACCUUUAUUUCCCUUAUGGAAUGUGAGUGCUUGGUGGCCCUAUAUAGGCAAGAGUGGAAUUUUCUGUCUCCCCCAUAUAUAACUUGUACUUUACAAUAUCCUGCCUUACUGCUAUUGAAUGUGUCACAAGCAUUUGCUAUUAGAAGGUAAGCUCCUUGAAGGAGGAAUCCAUGGCUUACUUUUCCAUUACUCUAUUCAGUACAAAAGAGUAGUGAGGAAUUCUUUACCAAGGAGUCCACGAUGGAUGCGUUUCGCAGCACUUGUGUACUCCCUGAAACUGUAAAACAUUAUUUUUGCAUGUACAGUUUUCUGUGAAGAAGGUCCAUCAUUUUCAUUAGAUUCUCAAAGGGGUAAGUGGCUCGUGGUUGACCUCUGUAGGUUAACCACUCUAAUGGGCUUUUGAUGACUACUUGAAUGGUAGAAACUAUAGAAAAACAGAUAUGACCUUGAUGUAUGAGACAGUGUUGUCAUGAUUAGAAGUCAUGCUUGGGGAUGGCUCUCAGUUCUACAACACUGGAGAUGUUAAAUUAACAGCUGGAUAACCCUUCAGUGAUAAUAAUGUAGGGAUGUUGAUCUACUCUCUUUGCUCUAUGAUUCUAUGAUAAUAUCAGUCUUCACUAGAGAAUACUUCUAAUUCUUCACGUACAUGUACCCUCUCAUUUCCGUUUUUGUGUGACUCAGUCUUUGGACUAUUUAUACACCUAAAGAAUCUUUUUGAUGGAUAACCAGAGGCCUACAAAUUAAUCCAUGAGAACCAUGGCCCUGAGGAUAUGUGAAAUACCGAAUAACAGGCAGGGAGCUUGGCAUGAACUCUAGAAAUAAAGAGAGGGUAGAAUGAUUUUUGAGUUGAGGAUAGAAGUAUCAGAAGAUAGGAGUUGACAAGCAGGUUGACACAGUUGCUAAUAGGUUAAACAGACUAGGAUUUAAUUGAGUGCUAAAUUGGGCUAGUUACCUUUAAAUUUAGGCCUCUGAGCAAUUUUGGUUUGUGCUGCAAUUUUGCUACUUUCAUUCAAAGAAAUUAGGACAAUGCAACUCCAGAGAUGAGUUGCAGAAAUGCAAAGUAGUAAAAACAUAUUCAUUUUCAAGUAUGAACAUAUACAGGUUUGUGCAUGAGUAUAUAAAUGUAUGCAACAACAUGCUCGUGCCUUGAUACCUGUGGAGAUGUGGAUCCAUCCACAUGAAUGCAUUACUUCACACAUAUACCAAAUGUAAGGAGGAUUAAAUACUUAUCUAAUAGAAAACUUUCACUUGCAGGGAAAUAGGAAAUAGAGCAUUUCAAAGCAGUCGAAUAUCCAAUGGAUGAGAAAAAUAUUUUAGGUAAUAUACUGAUGCCUCUUUCAGGGUUAAUGUCAUGAAACUUCACAGGGUGUAUAAGUAUCUGAAUAGAGACAGAACUCAAGCUGAUAGUAUCAUACCAAGUGAUAGUGUAGGUGAGAGAAGUCCUAAAGAUAUCCAUUAUAGUCUAAAGGAAACUGGCUAUAUUACAUGCUCCAGUUUUCCUUGGAGAAGUGUGUUUGUUAAAUUGUGAUCACCAACAUCUCCAGUCCCAGUUUUUUAGGUUGGACGUAGGGGGCCUUUAAGCAAGUGCUUCCUCAGAAUGCUUUCUGGUGAUCUUCUAAGCUGGCUGUUUUCCUCUUUAGCAUUCUGCAAAGUCUCACUUAGCAUCCUUUAGCUUGUGAAUUUUUGAUGAGUAUGGUACUGCUAUUUUUACAUAAGUUUUGUAAACUCCUUUGAGGAAUGCAGAGGUACAUGGAAAGAAGAAGAUUGUGGUGAGCUUCUUCCUUUAUUUAAUCCGUCCAUGCCCCAACCUCACAGAGACCAGUAUAAAGCUGUAGCUGUAAAAGCUAACUGAUUUGCCCAGUGUUUUUGUUUUGAAGGACAUCAACUAUUUUUAGCAACAAAGAAGUGUUAGGAAGGGGAGGAAGGCAUACCUCAGGACAGAGCUGAAAUGAAGCCCAGAAUCCUGAAGAGAGUGGAGUGGAAAAGCAAGAGUACCUUAGUGAAAGGUCGCCUAAGUGGAGAGUGUAGAUCUAAUGUUCUGGAUGGUUGUAGGAAACCCUCAAUUAAGAGCUCUGUUAAUGGAGAAUUUAGGAAAUGUUAUUAAAAAUUCUCUUAGCCAGCCUAAUAAAGGACAUCAGGACGUGCAAACUGAGCUCGUUGUUUAAUUUGUACAGUAAUCUGUAUUUUGGGGGGGGGGGUUUGAAAUCAACUAUCAACAUGCUUAUUGAGCAACUAUACUUGUACAAAGCAUUGUGCUAGGAAAUGUGUGUGAAGGGUGGGAGGAUGGCAUUUAAAAAUACAAGAUGAGUACAUGUUCUCCAAAAAUAUACAGGAAGCUAUGUGUUAGGAACUGUGUUGGGUGCUUUCCAUAUGUUAUCCCAUUUAAUCUUUCAAACAAAUAUUAGGAAUUAUAAUCAUCCCUAUUUUACAGAUGAACAGCCUGAGACUCAGAGAAGUUAAAUUCUUUCCUCCCUCUUUUCCCUCCCUCCUGCCUUCCUUCCUGUUUCCUUCUCUUUCUUUCAACAAAGUUGAACUAAAAGGCUAAUAGAACAUGGUGUCUUUCUCCCAAGGUUUCACUUUGUCUGAAGGUAGCAGAAUUGUAGCUAUGUAAUUGCUGCUAUAGCAGAGGAAUGAACUCAGCAAUAUGGGAGUUCAGAGUAUGAAGCCUUCUGUUCUAUGUGGAUAUCAGAGAAGACUUCCUGGAAGAGGACAUGUUUGAGUUGAGUCUUAAAAGAUAAGAAAGAGUCCGUUAGUAGACAAGGAAGAUAAGGCAACAGUAACAGCGUGGCAGAUACUGCUGGCUUCUCGCUCAACAGCCAUUACCUUUUGUCUUUCUGGAGAAAGCCAAGAUUUUGCUCAGGUGUUCCUUUUCCUACUUGAUCUGAGGGAGAGUGACCGUAUCCCUACCUUCAGGAGUAAGUACUGAGUGGUUUAAGCCGAUUAUGGUGAGUCCAUCCCUCUAGUUUGAUUAGCUUAGGGGUGGGCAUUUGAACGAGUUCUGGCCAAGGCCAUAUAAAAGGAAAUCUGCUGGGUGACUUAGGAAAUGUUUCUUGCCCUUAAGAGGGAGACACUGGAAGAGAUAGCCAUCUUUUUUUGUCUCUAGGUAUUGCUGUACUUGGAAGGGAUGUUUAGAACUACCACGGCCGUCUUGUGACCAUGAAGGGAGCCAAUCUGAGGGCAAAUAAAAUUUUCUGAGGAUGGUAAAGCAAAGAAAUAAAAACCAGUGUCUUCAAUGACAUCGUUGAGUUCAUGGACAACUGUGCCUGCUUUUCAAUUCAUGUUACCUGGUGUUAUAAUUGUCUUUGUUCCAUCAGCAGGUUUGGAUUGAAGUCUUCUGCAAUGGCAUCCUCACUGAUAACAGAGCAGAUGCAAAUCAUAGGGCUCAGAAAGGUCACAGGGCACUUAGAAAUGGACAAUAGUUCCUCACGUCUGAAAUGCAGGAUAUUGUGGAGUGGAGAGUGUGAUGACGGCUAGAGAUAAGGUGAAAUACUAGACAAGGGUCAGAUCAUGAAGGGCCUUGUAUGUUAGGAUCAGACAUUUGCACUUUAUUUUGUACGUACUGGGGAGGCAUUGAAAAGUUUCAAGCAAGGUAAUGGUAUAAUUAGGUUUGCAGUUUAGAAGCAUUCGUCUGACUACUGUGUGGUGGAUUGAAGAGUACCCUCUGAUAAGACACCGAGGUCAUUCAGUUCAAGAACAAAUGGAUUCACAUGCAGGUGGGUCUCUCUCCAUUAUCCUUCCAUUUUAGCUUGGAAAGACAGAGGUUAAGAAAAUAUAUGCAAAGUGGGAAAUUAGAGGAGCAGACAGUAAGCAUUUCAGAAUUUCAUCAGAGAAGAGCACGUUGGGGGUCAUGGAGAGUUUCAAGAAACAGAUUGGAUUUGAGCUGAAUGCCGAAGGACUUAGAAACCUUGGAGGUUGAGUAGAGCAUGAAACAACACAGAGGAAUGGCAAGUCAAGCUGGAAUGGAGAGUUUUAUGGGGGGAGGAUAAAGAUGGGAUGGUCACUUGCAAUCAAAAGGGCAGAGAAAAGAAAUGAAUCUUUACCCUGAUUCCACCACUUAGCAGUUGUGGAAUGCUGGGUUUGAUAUACUUUUAUUUCCUAAUUGUUUUAAUUGGGAUUACAAACAUACGCUUUAUUAACAUCACCAAGCGAUGUCAUACAGAUAUCGGAUGCCCCCUGAUGUCAUGUGAUGAGAAAGACACUUGCCUGUGUGGUAUCCUUUCCAAAAACCCUAACCCUGGUCUAAUCAUGAGAAGAACAUCAGACAAACCCAAUUUGAGGAACAUUCUACAAAAUAUCUGACUAGCACUCCUCAAGACUGUCAAGGUAAUGAAAAACAAAGACAGACUGAGAAACUGUCACAGACCAGAGGAAACUAAGAGGACAGGACAACUGAAUGCCAUGUAUAUUCUGGACUAGAUCCUAGAUCAGAAAAAAGACAUUAAUGAAAAAAAUAGUGAAAACUGAAUACAAUUUAGGUUUAGUUCACACUAAUUUACCACCGUUGGUUUCUUAAUUCUGACAAACUAACCACCGUAAUAUAAAUAGUAACAACAGGGGCCAAUGAAACUGAGUGAGGGAUAGGCUAUCACUGCUGUCUUUGCAACUUUUCCAUAAAUCUAAAAUUAUUCCAAAAUAAAGAUUUUAUUUAAAAACAAGAUCUCCUUCACUGAGUUGUUAUGAGGAUUGAGUGAAAGGAUCCAUAUAAGGCAGCUGGUAUAGUGCCUGACGCAUAACAGGGCCUCAAAUGUUUCUCUCUAAACUAGAGAUUCUCAAAUUUAGGGUGUGUAAAAAUCACCUAGAGGUGUUUUGUCAGAAAUGCAAACAAACCCCAGGGCAUCAGUCUCAGAGAUUCUGAUUUAGUAGGUCUAGAAUAGGGCUCAGGAAAAAGAAUUUGUUAAUAGGUGCCCUCUAGAGAUCUUGAUGUGGGGCUUGCUGCUCUAGACUAUAGGGAUCCUGGGGUGAGAGCUGUACAUUCCCCUGAGGAGGAAAAUAAUGGAGAUAUAACGCCUGCCUACUUGCCUCAAAUGGGUGGAAGGGAGAAAAGGGGAAAAUAUAGAAGCAAGCGCUUCAAAAAUUGUAAGUUACAAUUUAAAUCGUUACAGAUUAAUUUGGGAUGAAACAGAGGUCUGAUUAGCUAGCCAUUUAAUAAUAACAGUGUGGUUGAAAUCUAACUUUUAUUCAUUUCAGCCACCUAAAAAUAUUCAGCUGCUUUUCCUGCUGAAGCACUCAGAUGACCCACAGGACAAAGGCACAGUUCAACCCCUUCAAUUACGGAUGAGCUAAAUGAAGCUGAGGGACGAGAUGUGACUGGUUCAAGGUCACAGAACCAGUGACUGAGAGAACGGAUUAGAACCCACUCUUUUUUUCAGCUUCAUUGAGGUAUAAUUGAUAAAUAUUGCAUAUGUUUAAGGUGGACAGUGUGGUAGUUUGAUAUACAUGUGCAUUGUGAAGUGAUCACCACGAUCAAGCUGAUUAACAUAUCCGUCACUUUCCAUGGUUAGCAUCUUGUUUGUGUGUGGUGAGAACACUUAAGAUUUACCCUCUUAGCAAAUUUCAAGUAUACAAUACAGUAUUGUUAACUAUAGUCACUGUGCUGUACAGUAGAUCUCUAGGACUCACUCAUCUUGCAUAACUGAAACUUUGUACCCUUUGACCAACAUCUCCCCAUUUCCUCCUCCCCUCAGCCCCUGGCAACCACCAUUCUGUUCCCUGCUUCUAUGAUUACGCCUAUUUUAUAUUCCACAUAUAAGUGCGAUCAUGUGGUAUUUGUCUUUCUGUAUUUGGCUUAUUUCACUCAGCAUAAGGUCCUGCAGGUUCAUCCAUGUUGUUGCAAAUGGCAGGAGUACAUUUUUUUUUAAGGCUGAAUAAUAUUCCAGUGUGUGUGUGUGUAUGUGUGUGUGUAUCUCACAUCUUCUUUAUCUGUUCAUCUGUUAAUGUUUCCCAGAUUAUUUCCGUAUCUUGGUUAUCUUGAAUAAUGCUGCAAUGAACAUGGGAGUGCAGCUAUCUCUUCGAGAUGGUGAUUUCAUUUCCUUUGGAUAAAUACCCAAAAGUGGGAUUGCUGAAUCAGACGGUAGUUCUCUUUUUAGGUUUUUGAGGAAUUUCCAUACUGUUUUCCAUAAUGGCUGUACCAGUUUACAUUCUCACCAACAGUGCACAACAGUGGAAGCCACUCUUGCAAGCUCCAAUCAAGGUGUUCUUUCUGCUACCAGAUGAUCAUUGAUCGCUGCACUCAGAGUUUCAGACCUUUCACAUGGGCUCUGGAGAAAGAGAAAGGCUGUCUGACUUAUUGAGGAGGAUGCCAAAAGUUUGUUAACCUAAGUCCUGCUCUUGGCUCACUGUGUUCUAGAAUAACUCAGUUUUCACUUCAGCUAGAUAGAGUAAAAUGGGAUCAUCUGCCUGGGAAAACGGCCCUUUGUGGACAGUCCUCAAUCAUGCUUGGAUUCCGCAUCAUCAGCCACGUCAGCAACGUGUCAUUAACCUGAAAAAACUCACCAGGCCUUCAGAAUGCUGAGUGACAGAUGAGGCGCACCUCCGUGCUCUGGCUCUGCCUAACCACACCACCAUGAAAUACAUUGCUUAUAACUCUACCAUUCCUUCUGUAUCCCAAGGUUACUUGUAGGAGAAAUAGAAACCAAGGCGUAUCACUGUGUUUCCUCGUCUCUCUAACUUGAUAUGGGUGAAAUCAGUUUUAAAUUAAGGUCGUCCUCUCACCACGUUUUGCUUUGCCCCUCUGCUCACAUUGCAGCUUUCUGGGCUGUGCUCUGAGAAGUGAGGUAUGAGCGUGGCUGCCCACGUUUCCUACGGUCUGUCUGCGAGUCACCAUCACCCCUCGGGGUUGAUGAGUGCAGCAAGUAGGCUUUCACUGAAUCUCCACUUUCUUCCCUUUUUUUCCCCUAGAUGCUUUUCCCCGGCCCAGAAAGAACUUUUCCUUCUACCCCGUGUCCUGAGAAAUGCCAUUACAUCAUAAACUAUAUCCUUCCUCCUCUGUGACGUAUGUUAAAGACGCUUUGCUCUGAAUACUCCAGGUUUUGGGCCUAUAAAUCCUUUUAUCCUACAACAAAUCCUGGCUCUUGCAAAUGCAAUCAAGCUUUAGCUUUAAGAGUUACUUUCUCCAAAAUAAUUUUUGUUUAAGAAUCUAUCAUGAAAGCCAGAAUUUAAAAACUGAGGAAGAAGGGCAGGUAGUGAGGGACUGGACUGAAAACAGAGAUUGUUAAAAUGUGCAUUUUGAGUGGGAAGAUCCUUCAGCUUCCUUCCAUAUCCGGUUAUCUUUCCUCAGGAAGCUACAGGAGGAUGUGUUCCACCAAUAUGAGGGACUAAACCAAGAAAGAGGAAGUGUGGGAUUCAGGAAGCAGGAAAAUAUGUAGGGAAUUCUCAGGAUGGUGCUGAAGGAAAAUCCCAGGAUAACAGCUGUGCAUUAGGUCCAGACUGGAAGAGAGGAUGGAGGGCACCAGGGAAAAAGGAUCAUCGAGUUGCUUUUACUGUAUGGAAAGUUGAACUGAGUUGCUGUUAAAGGGCCUGGGCAGAUCUAGCUUCUAGAACAAGAUGAAAAAAAGAAUCUCACCAAAUUCUAAGGAGGAACAGUUACUGAUUCCAGAAAAAAAAAAGUUGCACCAAGAAGGACAGGUAAUCAUAGUCAGCCACUUAAUUCAGCAGUGAACAAUAUUUAAAUGUCCAAUUAAUGUAAGCUCUGACUAUUGCUUUGAUUAAAAAAGAAAACACGGCAUAUAUUUAUGAUGGAAAAAUGGGGAGAGGAAGAUGGAUGUGAGUGUAGAGUAGUACUCUCAUCUUUUAUGUUACUCUUGUCCUUGUUGUUUACAGCCAGUUAAGGAUUUGUAUCUGGUACUCCUCUUCAUGAUCCCUGCUACAGUGCUGCGCUCUUGUCAUUUCAGAAGUUCUCUUUCUUCAACUUUCUCUGCCUUCUUUUUUCCUAGAGCUUCAUUUCAAUCCCCUGCUCUUUGAGAACUCUUCUCUACUGUCUCAUUAGCAUUUUUUCUUACAAUUUCUCAG